Long non-coding RNA from Syngnathoides biaculeatus (alligator pipefish), 689 nucleotides. RefSeq lists it as uncharacterized. Lineage: Eukaryota; Metazoa; Chordata; Actinopteri; Syngnathiformes; Syngnathidae. The record is from RefSeq and is a predicted model, not a curated record. The transcript is spliced from 3 exons.
GCAACAACAACAAAAAAAACAAAAAAGACUGAAUGGCUCAUUGGUCACCAAAACUGAAGUCGCCAUCCCCCAUCUUGAUACUCCCAAAACAACCAUGCCGACCUGUGCAGUGGCUGUGAAAAAACAUUCCACAGACUGACAGUCCUUCCUUCAGAAGGUCACGCUGCGUUUUUGCUCAUUGAUCCAGUCCCCCGGAUUGACGUCCAUCUGGAGCAUCUUCAUCACCCACUUGUCCCUCCGCGCUCCGUCGAUGAACUCAUCCAGGGAGAGUUCACCUAGAGUUCUCAAAGAACCGACCAGGAACGCACCCACUUCAGCAUCCAGUGUGCACGCGGCACGAUUAGCGGCGAGCGAGCUUUUCCGUCAACGCUCCUCAAAGCCAUUAACGCUCUCGCCGAACUCUUAAAUCAUCCACACGCGGUCCUUUAAGAGGUCAGAAAACUGUCGCAAACACUCACCGUCUCCAUUUUCAUCGACCAGCUCAAAUAUCCGGUCCACGACCUGGUCUGGGGUCAGAAGAUUGCACUCUGCGUCCAGCUCUCCGUGACAGGCUUUCUUCAGUCGAUAAAUAGACUUGAGAGUGACAGGGCACGAUGUUCGGAUGAGUCUCGAGUCAAAUACGUUCAUGUACAUGAUUAAAAGUUGUUCUUGAAUGUCAAUAACGCAAAUCAAAGCGUACCUCCACAAUU